This is a long non-coding RNA of Daucus carota subsp. sativus, 1692 nucleotides long. RefSeq lists it as uncharacterized. NCBI's taxonomy places the organism in Eukaryota, Viridiplantae, Streptophyta, Magnoliopsida, Apiales, Apiaceae. The record is from RefSeq and is a predicted model, not a curated record. The transcript has 2 exons.
ACGCCCAAUCAUUGUGUCUUCCUUCAUGAUUGCUUAUAACUCUCAUGCUUCACUUCAACUCAAUUGGUCUUAUCAUGCUUACUGCAACUAGCAUAUAACUUAAAUAGAAACUAAAUAGAAAUCCACUAAAGCCUCACCAAAUGCUCCACAGAUCCAAGAGCCCCCCCUCCCCGAAACCCAUCUCGAGGUCCAUCCCCAGUCCCACAACCCUUUUAGUAGCAUUAGUUUGUAUUGGAGUAGUUACUAUUCUAUACUUAUAUAUAGUCUUGCUAUAUUAUUAUUGUUCAUGAUCCAUCCAUCCGAACGACAAUGUACAUUAUUCUUGUUUCCUAGUCUUGGUGCAAAAUUUCGUGGAUUUCAACAUUAGAUGUCAGUUUGUUUCUGUAUAUAGCCUUGCCUUUGAAUAAGAUACAUUGACCUCAUAUCUUGUUUCCUAGCUAUAGUGAAUGCCUUGAGCUUUUCUCUGUGUCACUCUAGUUCUCCCCGGACAGAACUAGGCAAUGCUACAAUGAAUCCAGUCGAAGUCUCUAAGGUAAUGUUAAAGUUCUUUAUGUUCUUUAAUCAACAAAAGCAGGUGAAUUUCCAUCCAUGUUGUGAAGAAUCCUAUAUUCCUGGAGAAAAUGUGAUGAAAGCUAGAUGACAACAGUUGCAGAGGGAUUACAUGACAUUAUGCUGGUAUCUUAAACUUCCAAUGAGCUGUGAAAAAGUAUGACAAUGCCAAUUACCAUUUUGCUUUGGACAUUAAUACUAUAUCAUGUAUCAUGUCUAUAUAUUCAUAUUACUAAACAUAAUACCUUUCAAUCGUAAAUGAUAUUUGUUAAUAUGCAUAUAUCUACAAAUAUUGUUCACUAUGGCAGCUAGUAGUACAAGCCAUCAAUUUAACUAUUUCAUUAUUUACAUCAACUGGCAAAUUAUCUCAAUGUUUUCUAAUUUUGAUGACUACACUGCAGACAUAAAGGAACUAGGUACUGCAGAUAAUGAAGGAAUUAUAUUCUUACUUCCAUACAUCACUUUGACAACUUAAGGUGGACAUGGAGGUGCUCUCGGCUGAAGCUACAUGAUCUGGCAUCCUCAAAUCAUUGCAUAGCAUGUUUAUCUGUUCCAACACUUGAUCAUUUGAACAUCUUGUUUUAUUACCAUCAGUGUCUUGAUUAUCUUGACCGAGUUGAGAAGCAACAAAGUUGUCAAGUACUUGCUAAUCAGUCAAUUGACUGCAAUGCUGCAAUUUAUAAUCUUCUUGUGUGAGCAUUAAGGACUGCUCAAAUCCAUAUGGAACUCCUGAACUGAAGCUCACACUUGCUGCAGAAUGCAGGACUUCCUGUCCUUCUAACUGAGGAGGUUGCAGAUAUCGUUCAUGGGAACGAAAAUGCUGCAACUGACCAAGCUCUUGUUUACAAGUAUAGUUCUGAUCAUUAUGGAAUGGUGUAUAAGGAUUAUCAGUUAUCUGCCUUCGUGAUUCAAAGUCAGGCAGCAACCGGAUUUGGUCAUCAUACCAGUUAGACAGUGGCUCAUGCUCGUCCAUUUUCCUCACCGUUGUUAAUCUUUUCUUAAAAACCCUACACACAACCCAUCCCUCUUCCUGAAAGACAAUAUUGUUAGCAAAAUUUUAUAAACUAGGUACAAGAUAAUUAUUGAAUCAUUAGAAGCUUAUAUAUGUAAAAAAAAAAAAUGCUUAAUUGGUUUUUAUCUUCA